This is a long non-coding RNA of Monomorium pharaonis (pharaoh ant), 2894 nucleotides long. RefSeq lists it as uncharacterized. Lineage: Eukaryota; Metazoa; Arthropoda; Insecta; Hymenoptera; Formicidae. The record is from RefSeq and is a predicted model, not a curated record. The transcript has 2 exons.
AUAAAUUUCCUGCUUCAGGUGAUGCUCGUUUCUGCCAAGUUAUUUCGAUCUUAUCCCUUUAGCCAAUAUCAAGGUUGCGAAGGAUGCAAAUGAAGUCCACUCAUCCCCGAUUUCCUCUCCUGCGGAUAAUUCGCUAACGGUUAGCCAGUAUGGGAUUUAUUACGUCCAUAAUUCUUUUUACUUUACAUCUCUCUCUCGUAUCGGAUUCAUUAUGCAAAGCCUUUGUGACUAUUGCCGCAGCUACCACGGUUAUUUAAGGUCCCUUUGUUUCCAUUAUCGAUUCAAAUAUAUCGCUUAUGCUACUUUUUCAUGCUCCGAGACAAAAACUUGUUCCGGAAUAAUAAAUUUCGCUCUCCUCUUCUAUCUCGCUUGCUGCUCUCUCUUUCUCUCUCUCUCUCUCUUUCUCGUUUGCUCUUUUUAUUUGAAUUUUGUUAAAUUAAUUUGAAUGCGGCGAGAGGAAUGCGGUGUGGACAUAAUAAUUGGCACACGACCAAUAACGGGGGAAUUAAUAUUUAUUCGUUAAAUAAUACUCACGUUGCGUUUUUCGCCGCAUGACGUGCGCAACCUUGCGGUACAAGUUUAAUUAAUAAUUAAUAAUAUUCUUUCUCGAUAUUAUUAGUAAUUACAUAUUCAGAUAUUGAACGACAGUACUUUCAUCCCAGUUUGCGCGCGUCUCUCUUAUUCAUUAUUUCGUUGAAUCAAUGCAUGCGUUAUACUUUAUUAUUCUAUGGAACAGAUAUUGUCAUAUGCAAUUCAUCGAGUAUGCCGUUUACAAAAUUACUGAUGUAGUAAUCGAGUGGUUAAAAAUUUAACAACUAAUAACACAAGAGAAGGAACGAGUGCUCCUGUUAUAAAAAUAUUUAUCUUUAAUAUUUUUAUAAAUUGAAAGAACAAUGGUAUCAAAUAAAAUAAUAUCCUCAAACCAAGAAUCACAUUGUAUUUUUUCAGACGACUAUUAUAAUAUUAAAAUAAAAAUAUGAUAAAAUUUUGUUGAAAUGUGUAGUAAUAACAUCAAGUUCUUUGAAGAAAAUUAAAUUAUAAAUAAGAAGAUUAUUAUUAUCUCAUACAUAAGCAAGAAUAUAAUUUAUCGCUUACAAACGAAACAAUGACAUUAUCGAAAUAUAAUGUAUAUUAGUUUUAACUCGACACCGAUGUUUUUUCUGUGAUAAUAUUAUAUCGUCCGCGGUGCGCGCGACUUUUCGUCGAGCGGAGCCAUCGCGUCCAGGCGACGUGAGCUCUAAAAGAUGUGAUAAAUGAUUCCUCCCUUCCCUUCGUUUUCCUCCGUAGCCUCCCCCUUUCUUUUAUUGUGUCUACUUUCACGCAACCUGUCUCAUUCAUCCCCCAGUUUCCCCCGACGACGACGCAUUGUCGGAUUAAAUGCCAAGCGCGUUUAAAAGAUAGACGGCCGGCCGGCCGGUCGAUGUGUCUAUGUGUGUGUGUGUGUGUGUGUGUGCGUGUGUGUGUGUGUGUUUACGCGUGAGCGCGGGUAUGCGUGCGCGCGGGCGUGUGUGUGUUACGCGCCGGAAAGAAGAGGAACACCCACGUCGAUCCGAUAUCGACGUCUCGGACGGAGAUCGAGGGAAAAAAUGCGCCGCGCUCCGGAGCGUUUCCUCGCCUACGAUCGCUCGGUGGAGAAUCGUCAUCUUCGGCGAGGAACCCGGCCAUGCUCGAUAUGAUUCCCUCCCGUAAUUCGGCCGUUUCACCAAACACUCCCCUCGUCCCUCUCACUCUCUUUCUCUCUCUCUCUCUCUCUCGCGCGCGUCGUACGUCGCGCAUCGUCUCGUGCCCGGCUCGUCCCGUCUCCCCCCCUCCUCCCUGCCGAUCCCCCUUGUCCCACUCCGUUCCGCCGCAUACUUCAAGCAGGUAACGUGCCAACGCAAUGGCGCCUCACUGGCUGCACCUGGGAUAACCGUUCGCCAGGUUAGGCCUCGGCGGGGAUUGGCCGGUCGGCGUAAAGCCGAGCGCGGAUUGGCCGGCGGCUCGGCUCCGCCGGCACGUAGGUUUAAUCUCGUUUACCGUAGGCGCGCUGGCGUUCAGUUUAAGUUACCUCGGCCGGUCGGUCGGUUGGUCGGUCGGUCGGUCGCUCGGUCUCGCGGUCGCCUGUCCGUCCGCUCGCAAGUCGCAACUUGAAACCGGACCUCGUCGGCUCUGUGCGUAACGUCGUCGUGGCUCCCCAAAUUGUCGUCCCCGUCACCGUCGCCGCCGUCGCAGUUCGUAAGUUUGUGCGUGGAGGAGCGUGUGCGCGCGCGCGACAAUCCUCCUGACUCGCGAGAAACACCGGCCGCGAAGAGACGAUCGUGCGCGAACGCGAACGCGAGAGAACGCGUCGGGCCAGCGGUGACACGGUCGCGUGCGCUCGCGCUCGCGCGCGCGCGUUUGCGUAUAGACGCGAGUGCGGGCGAACGCAUAGCGAAACGACAAUCGUGCGUGCGUGCGUGCGUACGUGCGUGUCUGUGCAUCGCGAGUGAGUGUGCGUGCGCAACGCUCGCGGGCAUCGCGCGCGUGUAACACACACAUACGUAGUGCAGGGGAAAGAAAGGAGGAUCGGGCGCCGAUCGAUCAGCGCCGCGCGAAUCUCUCGGCUUGCUCGGAUCGUCGAUCGAGUGACCGCGGGGUGCGGAAGUGCGCGCCGAGAAUCCCAAGUACGACGGAGUCGUGGAAAUUGACGGGAAUUUCCGUUGGCGAAUCGCGUGCCUGUGGUGGUGCUGGUGCUGCUGCUGCUGGCUGCUGCUGUUUGCCGUUGGUGGUGGUGGUGGUGCUGGUAGUAGUAGUGUGUGUACGGUGCGAGAGGUUAGGAUCGUGCCGCUGCUAGGCGGAGAAAGAGCGCGGCCUUCCCUAACCGGGGAAAGGAGAGCGGAAAGGAUCGGCGUUGCGGUGCGCGCGACCGAGGAAAA